CGUUAGCGGCGGACGGGUGAGUAACACGUGGGUAACCUACCUAUAAGACUGGGAUAACUUCGGGAAACCGGAGCUAAUACCGGAUAAUAUUUCGAACCGCAUGGUUCGAUAGUGAAAGAUGGUUUUGCUAUCACUUAUAGAUGGACCUGCGCCGUAUUAGCUAGUUGGUAAGGUAACGGCUUACCAAGGCGACGAUACGUAGCCGACCUGAGAGGGUGAUCGGCCACACUGGAACUGAGACACGGUCCAGACUCCUACGGGAGGCAGCAGUU
Molecule: ribosomal RNA, 272 nt
Filed under: uncultured Staphylococcus sp.
Lineage: Bacteria; Bacillati; Bacillota; Bacilli; Caryophanales; Staphylococcaceae
Description: partial 16S ribosomal RNA
Rfam family: Bacterial small subunit ribosomal RNA
Source: RNAcentral